Boleophthalmus pectinirostris (great blue-spotted mudskipper) is the source of this 1215-nucleotide long non-coding RNA. RefSeq lists it as uncharacterized. The record is from RefSeq and is a predicted model, not a curated record. The transcript is spliced from 4 exons. Lineage: Eukaryota; Metazoa; Chordata; Actinopteri; Gobiiformes; Gobiidae.
GGCUCGAUCUGUGCUGGACUUCCCCAAAAGGGUCUGGCUGCAGACACAUGGGGAAAGUGGAGCUCCACUCCAGACCGGAAACACGUGACCUCCAACGAAGAUGUCAUCUCUACUUUUAUGUAGACCUAUGGGGCGACGAAACGAUUUAUUUUGACCGCAAUUAAAUGUUUAUUAAAUAAGAUUGUUUUUACGUUAUGGAAUUUGUUCGCACAUAUAAACACAGAGCAAAACGACCAUCUGGAAGACGGAGAAAACAUGGGUAAAGAAGCCCACGGAGUGAUUUAAUGAAGCUACGAGGAGAAAACACUGCAUUUUCACACACAGUGACUGAGUUAAACUUGUAAACACUUGGCCAGUAUAAGUCUUCCUGUAUGAGAACACAACACACUGCUGGGGCCACAAAACUGGUGGCUGAUGAGAUGCUCAUGAUUCAUAAAAUGGGUCAAAUGCAGAUGACAAAGAAAAGCAACACUGAGCAGGAGGUGCUGACCCAGACUCCUGCCUCUGUUUAGGUUUUCACUCUGCAGACAGAAAUUUCAACCAGUCAGACUUAAGGCCCAUUCUGCUCUUCCUCCUCCAGAACACGAGAGAUACAUCAGACUGAAUGAUCCAAGUACACUGGGUCAUGUCUCCACUGUCCAUGUCCAGACUCACAGAGGAGGAGGAGGUCCAGACUGCAGACCUGUGGGGCCUCUGGUUGCGUCAGGCCUUCCUCCUGCACAUUCUGUUUGCUGCUGUUCCUUAUGUGUCCUAAUAGUGAUGUGUCCAUAAAGUUUAGGUUUAACGUCUAAUUUCCUCCAGAAGUGAAACAGUAAAAUGGUGGUUUCUGUUCGUCUUAGCUGAGGAGCACCUAAACAGCUUUAUCACUGAGGAAGUGUCCCAUGAUAAAUGUGUCCUUAUAUGACCUUAACAAGUGUAUAAGACAAAACUAGAGUCAUAUAAGUUGCUCAUAAUAAGUUUUUCUGAAUGUUUUUCAGUCUGUACUGAUGUUUGAUUCAUGAUGAAAUGUGCCAUUUACUUUCUGUCUCUUUUGAAAGUAACUAAUUACAUGUACUAUAAGAAUGUACUGUUGUACUGCAGUUAAGCAGUGGUAUUCCACCUGAUCAUAUUUUGGAAUUUUUUUUUUCUGCUUCAGCAAAAUGGGAAGAACUCUUUGAGAGUACACUGACAUACAGCUAUGUGUACUCACCUAUUAAUGCAGUAUGUGUUUGUGUU